CUUAUUUGUCUUUUGGCCAAAUUAUUAGUUGCUUCUGCAUGCUGAGUCAAAUAUAUGACUAUAUGAGUUCGUCUUUUGUUAUCAUGUUGGAGUGGUGAGAAAAUUGAUUACAAUUUUAGAAAAGAACAACUUAAGUAUGGCACACUUGCUAUAGUAGCUAAGGUUAUCUUGUAUGUCUAUAAUUGAAAAUAAUAUUUCUACUUUCAUAAGGUAUAGAUGCCUGUAAGGACAUCGUUGAGUGGUUGAGAGGUGAUUGUGAUAUAUCAAUUGUCCCACGUUGAAAAAAAUAGAGAAAUACUAGUGAAUAGGCUAAAUGGGUUCUCCCACCUAUCAAACCGUGACCAACGAAGAUCGAUUCAUGCAUGGAGCUGCGACUCCGAGUGGUGGCCUGUGUGUCUGGAGUGAUGGCCUGGAUCCAAGAGGGGUGCCAACUGUGACCAACUGGGCAUAGUCGUGACCAACGAGGAUCGAUCCAUUUCCAUGCAUGGAGCUGCGACUCGGAGUGGUGGUCUGAACCCAAGAGAGGGUGCCAACCAUGAUCAACUGGACCUAGCUAUGACCAACGAGCUGUCGUUGGUUCUCAAGCGGAGGCGAUUGUUAUGUAUCAAUUGUCUCACAUUGAAAAAACAGAGAAAUACUAAUGGAUUUAUAGGCUAAAUGGGUUCUCCCAGCUAUCAGACUAGUUUUUUGGGUUGGACUCUCUCAUUUGGUUUAUAACAUAUGGAUCUCCAUAUGGGAGACCUGGAUCGAAUCUAGCCUCCGAUUCUCGCUACGUCAUGAGUUCGUCACAUGAAGCUUGCUUCGUACGGUUUAUAUCUCCUGCAUAGCUUGUGAGUGUGGGGGUUCAUAUAAAAUUAUAUUGGUAUGUUGUUUUUGUAGUACAUGGAUAACGUAAAUUUGAUACACA
RNAcentral lists this long non-coding RNA (907 nucleotides) under Capsicum annuum. RNAcentral describes it as "long non-coding RNA (CANN_LNC013475)". Lineage: Eukaryota; Viridiplantae; Streptophyta; Magnoliopsida; Solanales; Solanaceae. The record is from RNAcentral.